RNAcentral lists this transfer RNA (74 nucleotides) under Parcubacteria group bacterium 20-58-5. RNAcentral describes it as "tRNA-His". It matches the Rfam family "tRNA". Rfam says of the family: Transfer RNA (tRNA) molecules are approximately 80 nucleotides in length. Their secondary structure includes four short double-helical elements and three loops (D, anti-codon, and T loops). RNAcentral also lists the same sequence under 2 other names. The record is from RNAcentral.
GCGGCUAUAGUUUAGUGGUAAAACUCCGGGUUGUGGUCCCGGCAUCGAGAGUUCAAUUCUCUCUAGCCGCCCCA